Molecule: ribosomal RNA, 465 nt
Filed under: Vreelandella stevensii
Lineage: Bacteria; Pseudomonadati; Pseudomonadota; Gammaproteobacteria; Oceanospirillales; Halomonadaceae
Description: partial 16S ribosomal RNA
Rfam family: Bacterial small subunit ribosomal RNA
Source: RNAcentral
CCUACGGGCGGCAGCAGUGGGGAAUAUUGGACAAUGGGGGGAACCCUGAUCCAGCCAUGCCGCGUGUGUGAAGAAGGCCCUCGGGUUGUAAAGCACUUUCAGUGAGGAAGAACGCCUGGUGGUUAAUACCCAUCAGGAAAGACAUCACUCACAGAAGAAGCACCGGCUAACUCCGUGCCAGCAGCCGCGGUAAUACGGAGGGUGCGAGCGUUAAUCGGAAUUACUGGGCGUAAAGCGCGCGUAGGUGGCUUGAUAAGCCGGUUGUGAAAGCCCCGGGCUCAACCUGGGAACGGCAUCCGGAACUGUCAAGCUAGAGUGCAGGAGAGGAAGGUAGAAUUCCCGGUGUAGCGGUGAAAUGCGUAGAGAUCGGGAGGAAUACCAGUGGCGAAGGCGGCCUUCUGGACUGACACUGACACUGAGGUGCGAAAGCGUGGGUAGCAAACAGGAUUAGAGACCCGAGUAGUC